GGGCGUCGCGGGCUCCGAGCCAAGGCAAAAGCGGUGGUUCUCUCCGAGGUUCGGGGCUUCGGUACCGGAAAGCGGUCUCAGGAAUUAGAACCCGCAGCCUAAAUGUGGAAGAUGAACAAUGGCGCUGGGGCUCUUCGGUGUGUGUGAGCAGUUCUGUGUAGAUGCUGAGGUGCAGGAGAAAAUUCCAAAACAUCUGGAAGAUACUUAAUGGAAAAUUACUUGGAUAAAGGCUGACCGACUACCAGUUGCCUGGAUGUUGCUGAAUGCUAAUGAAGCUAUAGAUGUAACAGCCAUGCCACUUCAUUUUGAUUGCGGGUCGCUGUCUUCCUAUUGAAAGGACAGCUUGCUGAAAAGUGCAGGCAUUUCUGGCUAAUCUUGGAAGCUUAUCUGUAUGAAAAGCUAUUGAAGAUAAACAUCCAGAAAGAAAAGGUGGACAAGAAAAGAAAAAAAGUUUUGGAUUGUACUUUUUAUGGGCUUUUUGUUUCCUUUGUAAACAGACUGAAACAGUGGGGUUUUCUUAAUGAAAGGUUAUCUUCAGCUAACCAGCCCUGUAAACAAAUAUUCUGAAUAUGAAUAUUUCAUAUUUAGUCACCUGUUUGUCUUUAAAAUACUUGUAAUUAAGUAUUAAAAUAAUAUUGAGUUAAAUUUAUAAUGACGUGGGAAAAUCUUUUGUGGGAUGUUAUUGGAAAAAUGGCUGUUUGCUCAUCACAGGAUUAAGAUGGAACACCUUUGGCUUCAUGCUGGGCACUUGUAUUCCAAAACUGAAUGAAGUAAGAGUAAAGUGGAAAUAAAAGAAUUAUUUGG
This is a long non-coding RNA of Lepus europaeus (European hare), 804 nucleotides long. RefSeq lists it as uncharacterized. The transcript is spliced from 6 exons. The record is from RefSeq and is a predicted model, not a curated record. Lineage: Eukaryota; Metazoa; Chordata; Mammalia; Lagomorpha; Leporidae.